GCCCCACGCGGAAGUCGGCGCUUCCCGGCCGGAUCGCGGGAGGCGCAGGGGGCGGUCGUGAGGGUCCUGCCUCGGCCCGGGGGUGCUGGGGGCAGAGCACCGCGGGGCCGGGGCUCUGGAAUCCGGAGACCAGCGCGGGCCGAGGGGGCCCUUCGAGGCGGACAGAAGGGGCGAGGACACGCCCUGCGCCAGGUACUUGGUGCGGGCGGGGCGGAGCGCCAGGUGCGUCAGGGGCGCCAGGUAGGCCCGCAAGCCCCGCCCUCCUGACCACGCCCCACUGGAGGCCCGUCCCCGUCCCUGAGUCGGCCCUGCCUCUGACUUUAGCCCAGAGCUCCCGCGCCGGCGCUUUCCCGCCGCCGCUGACAGCUCGGAGUCGGCCUCGGUGCGCUGGGGAAAACCGUCCGGGCCCGCCUCUGGCGCCGCUGCCGCGGCCGCGCUAAGGUUCCGGGCGGACCCUGCCGUGUCAGGUAAGAGGCCCCGGGCCGGGCCGUGAAGCGAUCCUGGCCCCACGCGGAAGUCGGCGCUUCCCGGCCGGAUCGCGGGAGGCGCAGGGGCGGUCGUGAGGUCCUGCCUCGGCCCGGGGGUGCUGGGGGCAGAGCACCGCGGGGCCGGGGCUCUGGAAUCCGGAGACCAGCGCGGGCCGAGGGGGCCCUUCGAGGCGGACAGAAGGGGCGAGGACACGCUCCUGCGCCAGAUACUCUGAAAGUUGGAGUGAUUCAGUGACCGCUAAGGUUCUUCCAGCUCUGAAGAAGGUGGUUCAGAAACACUUCAUUGUGUCUGAGCUAAAAUCUACUUCCCAGCAGCAGUGGAGGCGUUGGGAGCAGCUUCCGUCAGGACACUGUUCCACCUCUGGCCGUGAGAGCUCCCGGCCGCUCACGUCACCAGCACUGCUGAGACCGUUUGGAGCACACAGCUCACACGUGAGUGUGUGAGGGAACACACGCCGGAGGGAGCCCGGGAGAGGGAACCGGUUCCUGAGCUCCUGCAUCUUCCCUGAGAAUGGACCCUGGAGACCCAGAAGAAAAGCCUGCUGCCGGUGACCCCGCUGGUGGCCAGGACCCGCGCCUGUUCCUGCAGACCCUGCAGACGCUGUGGUCUACUCGGGAGCUGCGACAGGUGAGCUGCCUCAUCGAAUGUUCUGCGGGUCACGUGGGGUUGGGGCCGGGAGACAAGGCCUGUUGGACGCACGGAGCAGGAGAAGGCAGUACCCACCACCAGCCUGCAGGCAGCAGGGGGCACCUGGCGGGCCUCGCGCUUUGCCUCCUCUGCCCGAAGGCUCAGAGGACAGCCGUGUGUGGUCUGGCCGGCAGGCAGCCAGGGCCUUCCGCGGCUCUGGGCCCCGCACACCGGUCCCACGGAGGCCCUGCAGGACGGCAGCUCUGCCUCAGCCCAGGUGGCGCCCAUACUGGCCCUCGGCCGCUCCUCCCUGCACCGAGCUCCCUCGAGGCCCCAAGGACUGAGGCUGCCCUGGUCCCUGGGGGCGCGGGAACCACGUGUGGCUGGGGGGUGCCCAUCCUCUCGGGCCAGCCUGGCCUCCCUACCCCCACCGCCCCCGCCCCCAGGACCCCAGGGCUGGUGAGCUCCAGGAAGGCCACGGGCCUUCAGGGGAGGCCUGCCUGUGAGCCUGAGAGGUUCACGGGGCUUCCCAGGGCACAGGGCAGCCUUCUGUCUGGACAAGCCCCUGCGGGCCAAGCUGCGUGGCCUCGGGCAGGUAUCUGCCUGCCGCCUCCCCCGACCCGCACGGGCCUGUGAACAGCCGGCUCCGGUUGUUAGCUGGAGAAAUACAGUGCUUCUGCAAAAGCCAGAAGUUUCUUGAUUUCCCGGUUCCGUGCCUGUGGCUUUGAGGGCGACUCAGGAAGCUGGGCCGCGGGGCUGUGAGGCCUUCCCGCCUAGACGGGCCUGCCUGUUGUGGGGGGAGACUGCGUUUCCUGUGGGUGGAGCUGAAGCAGCUUGGGGGAGCCGCCUGUCUGUUCCCUGAGGCUGGGCGCUGAAGGGCUCCGCCUGGACUGGGCCAGGGGCUGGGAACGUGCUGUGAAACCCAGGUCUCCCUGGGGCGACUCCGGCAGAGUUUCCACUUCCGGACCUGUUUCCCAGGGGAGUGCCCGCUUCCUGUGCGUCAGCACAGCUUGGGCCCAGGCCCCUCCGGUUCUGCGACCCCGAGGGUGGCACGGCCCCUGCCCCCGCCCCUCUCCAGGACUGACCUCAAGCAGUGGGCCCAGGCGACUGUCGCCCAUGCCGCCUCUCCCUCCCCACCUCCGCGUGAGCCUGUUGUCUUCGUUUGAUGUCUGGGCUUCCGUCAUCCUUCCUGCUGUCUGAUUUUCACUGUGUCUCCUUGACCAGCGUGUUCUUCAUUUCCAGAGAGACGCUGGGCCGUGUGUUGAUAUCCGUCAGCCCGCGUUCCUGGCUGGGAAGGCACCUGGUCUGUGCUCUGGCUUCUGUGGGGGCCGGGCUUGUUCUGUGGUCGUCUGUGUAACUGCUCCGAGUCCCCUGUUCAUGACUGGUGUCCCACCAGGAGAGCACGCACGUCCUGGGCCCCUGCUCACGGCCAGCGCACACUGCCCAGUGUUGUGAGACAUGCGUGAGGCCUGAGGCCCAGCAGCAAGGCGGGGGUGGGGUCCCUGCAGGGCCUCGAGGGAUGGGACGGAUGCCUGGGCUGGGCUGGGAGGGAGUGGGGGACGCUGAGCCCCAGGGGGUUCAGACGAGCAGGGGGCCCUGGAGGCCAGCGCAGCCCAGGGCAGGGGCCUCAGGAUGCGAGGGGGUCGCAGGGCUGACCCUGCAGGACUCCUGGGAGCUUUGCCCUGUGGGGAAAGAACUGGGACCCAGCAGGGUCUAUGGUCUAGCCUUUCAGAGGGGAUCGGCCGGCGCUAGAGGAACAGGCAAAGGGCGGGAGGGGGCCAGGCAGGGGGCCUAAGAGCCCCCCAGGGGGGAACCGGGGUGGGGACAGGCAGGGGAGGGCGGCGCUCCCCACAUGGGGCCAGGCCUGCACCCUGGAGACUACGGGGAACACUCACUCCUGGGCGCACCCCAGCCCCACGGGGAGGAACCCGACUGUGCUAACAGGCUCUCUGGGCUCUGGCCCAAGCCCACUGCAGUCGGGGGGCCGUGCCUUCACUCCUGAAUGUGGGUAGGAAGGAGGGGCUGUGCCCAGGUCCCAGCUGGGUGGGGGUCAGGAAGGGGAGGGGGGCCAGAAGGCGGGAAGGAGGGAGGGAGGGGUCAGCGGGAGCCUCAGCGCCGGGCCUGAAGGGCCGUCGGCAUGGACGCUGUGCCCAGCACGCCCGGGAGCAGGGCGAGGGGCCAUUCGUGAGCCCGGGCCACGGGGCCACGUGGCUGGGGAUGCCGGGCCCGGUGUGUGCGAUCCCCCGAGGGCCGCAGCCUCAGGUUAGGGCCACUGUGUCUUAUCCUUCACUUAGGGCUGAUUGCUCUUCUCUCUCAUAGUUUCAGACGUGUUUGUUUUCUGUCUUCAUUCCCAAGCUGGUAGCUUGUCGUCCUUUGCUCUUGGAGCUUUGAUCGCCCCGCGGUGGUCGUCUCGCCCCGUGGGUGCUCCUCGUGAUUCCAGCGGUUUUCACAGGAGCUCAUCUCAGUGCAGCUCUCCUUUCUGGUGGCCGAGGGCCAGGCCCAGAGGCGUCCCCAAGUCGGACCCCCUGAGCACAGGCGCAAACACCCUGGGGGCCCCUGCCCUGUGUGUCGGUACCCAAGGCAGGCUGGGGUCUCCCCUGUGCUCACUGUGCCUGGUGCCCCGCAGACCUGUCCCUUCCUGGGGUCUUUACAGACAGAGCAUUCACUUGAUGCUCGAGGGAGAGUCCGUGUUUCGUUCUCGAGAGCCCUGCUGAGUAGCCAGAGAACAGUGGUUUAAAGUCACAAAGACGUGAGUGGAUGUCGCUCCAGGAGCAUCCUGGGAGCCCGCCUGGGGGCCACGGCCAUGUCCCUGCUGAGACCUGCCACCCGACGGUGGGCCCUGAGCCCCGGGCUGAGCACAGCAGAGGUGUUUGUGAGGGAAAGGCUCACACAGACAGGAAGCGGGUGACGCCAGGGGCCUUGGGCUGAAAGAACGCUUUCCCAGGUCAGAGCGUCAGAGAGCAAAGGGGCCCAGGUGAGAGCGUCAGAGGGCAGUGGGGCCCAGGUGAGAGCGUCAGAGGGCAGCGGGGCCCAGGUGAGACUGUCAGAGGGCAGCGGGGCCCCUGGCCUCGCUGAUGACCAUGUCUCCGCUGCUCAGUCACGUGGUGGGGGAACUGAGAUGCGGCCCUUUGUCAGCAGGGCCCUGGGGAGCUCAAGGGGCUUCAGGGAGGUCUGUGCUCUCUGGGCCACACCAGAGCAGAUCCGGGCGUUCAUGAUUGCACCGCGGGAGCCGGACCUGCAGACCCCCCCAGGGCUCAGCUGGGCCUGCAGACCCCCAGGGCGCAGCUCCUGUCUCGGCACCUGGCCGGGUGACAGCCAUGUCCAUGAUGGUCUCAGGGAAGGUGGGGGGGACUGCCCACUCCUUGGGGGUCUUGGAGAAGGUGGGGGGGGACUGCCCGCUCCUUAGGGGUCUCAGGGAAGGUGUGGGGGUCUGCCCGGUCCUCAGGGGUCUUGGGAAGGUGUGGGGGUCUGCCUGCUCCUCAGGGGUCUCGGAGAAGGUGCGGGGGGACUGCCUGCUCCUCCGGGGUCUCAGGGAAGGUGGGGGGACUGCCCACUCCUCAGGGGUCUCGGGGAAGUUUGGGGGGGACUGCCCGCUCCUUAGUGGUCUUGGGGAAGGUGCCCGGCCGUUUCCGCUUCAGGUGUGAAGCAGUGUCUCUUCCCAGACCCCUUCUCUGAGUGCUUUAGGUCGAGGCCCCAUGUCUAGUAGCAGCAGGACGGGGGCCCUGGAAGCCGCUGCUCUGCAGGGCUUUUUGGGGGAGGGUGAGCGAGCUGACCCCAGCUGUCGAGGGCAGAGCCCCGGGCCGGCCAGGGAGCAGGGCCUGACCUCCGGAGGACACGCCACCUCCCGUGCCCUUCCCAGGCCUCUGUGAGUCGGCACGGGAGAGUCCGUCCAGGGGAGACCGGACACCUCAGAGGGAAGAGCUGGCCCUGCGCUCUGCCCGUGUCCGGGAGGGGGGCUCCGCGGGCUCACAGGGUCCUCGAGGCAGCCCUCCCCCUGGCAACGCUCCGCACUCAGCGCCAUGACACCCCGGUCCCAGGACAGGGGCCUCCUGGGAAAAGCCUUUCUUCUUUGGGGCCUUGAGCGGGGAUUCUCUUCC
This is a long non-coding RNA of Bos grunniens (domestic yak), 5213 nucleotides long. The record is from Ensembl. NCBI's taxonomy places the organism in Eukaryota, Metazoa, Chordata, Mammalia, Artiodactyla, Bovidae.